Molecule: long non-coding RNA, 833 nt
Filed under: Vigna radiata
Lineage: Eukaryota; Viridiplantae; Streptophyta; Magnoliopsida; Fabales; Fabaceae
Description: long non-coding RNA (VRAD_LNC018110)
Source: RNAcentral
UUUUAAACUUAAAUGCACAACCAUAAAAUAGAAUAAAAAGUUUAAAAGUAGGGUCGAUUGUAUUAUUUGUAACCAAACUGUGACGGUAAACAGUCAAUAUUUAGUUAUAAAAAUAAAUAGGGUAUUCCUCUCUCCACCUCUCCAUUUUCUCCCUUCACCUCUCUAAUUUUCUUCAAUUUUUUUUUAUUGCAACAAUAACUUUUUUCUUUAUCUUUUUUAUCCUUUUAAUUUUUUUUACUUUUAAACUCUCUCCUUACACCUUUUUCUUCUUGAACUUUUGAGUACGUCUCUUCUUCUCCCACAUCUGUUUUGCCGCAAAUUAAGAUUAGGAAGUUACUUCCUCUGCCACCACAUGCAAAUUAGUGGAUAUGAGAGUCAUCAACGAAUCUUGACAUCCGGAAACGGAAUUCAAGAUCUAGUUAACCUUUGAACUAUUAUUUCCAAAGAUAUUAAUUAUUUUCAGUUCAGAAAAACAAAACUAACCAUUCACUUCCUAUCAGAAAAACAAAACUAACCAUUCACUUUCUAUCCCUCUCUAGCUUUCACUUGUGAUACGCGAUAAGAGCAAAUAAACUAAACAUCACUCACCAAUUCAAGCCUUACGCCUCAACAUUCAUAGAAACACAAUCUCAACCAACAAUACAUCAGCCAAAAACAAAAUUAAAAGGCAGAGAGCCAAAAGUUUAGUUUUUACAGUUCAAAAUAGCAUCAAUUCAACUCGCGAUAUGCUCUGCCACGAGACCGCCACUCUACACUUGUUCUUGUGCGCCCAAGUGUUGUUAUUCCUUCUCCAAUUCCAAACCUCCAAUGUCUCUUCCCCUUUCCCACGUGGC